GAAGUGGGGAUGACGUCAAGUCCUCAUGGCCUUUAUGUCUAGGGCUACACACGUACUACAAUGGCAGGUACAAAGGGCAGCGACACAGCGAUGUGAUGCGAAUCCCGAAAAGCCUGUCUCAGUCCGGAUCGGAGUCUGCAACUCGACUCCGUGAAGUUGGAAUCGCUAGUAAUCGUGGAUCAGCACGCCGCGGUGAAUACGUUCCCGGGCCUU
RNAcentral lists this ribosomal RNA (213 nucleotides) under uncultured Desulfocapsa sp. RNAcentral's name for it is "partial 16S ribosomal RNA". It matches the Rfam family "Bacterial small subunit ribosomal RNA", at positions 1170 to 1382 of the family's 1533-position model. The record is from RNAcentral. Lineage: Bacteria; Pseudomonadati; Thermodesulfobacteriota; Desulfobulbia; Desulfobulbales; Desulfocapsaceae.